UUGAGAAGAAUCUCAGGAACCCAUUGACUUGUUUCCUGAAAUUUUGAGGGAAAACUAGAUUUUCAUAUCAACAUUUCAGCUGGAAAAAGAACUUCCUAUUAAAGUCAUUGCAUACUUGGCCAUUUUGUCCCCCUUAGGUGUAUGAAAUCCAUUAAUAAGAACAGCAGUUGCAGUUCCACUGGGAUAAGGUAAUUUAUAGUCAAGUAUCAUAAUCUACAGAAAAUAAAAAUGCUCAUGAGUCAGUCAAGGCAGCAAAUAACACAAACAUCAAAUCUUGAGUCAUUGCAUACUUGGCCAUUUUGUCCCCCUUAGGUGUAUGAAAUCCAUUAAUAAGAACAGCAGUUGCAGUUCCACUGGGAUAAGGUAAUUUAUAGUCAAGUAUCAUAAUCUACAGAAAAUAAAAAUGCUCAAGAAUCAGUCAAGGCAGCAACUAGCACAAACAUUAAAUCUUAUCACAAACAUACCUUUCUAAGAGGAACUAAGGCUAACAGACCAACAAAG
Molecule: long non-coding RNA, 501 nt
Filed under: Nicotiana benthamiana
Lineage: Eukaryota; Viridiplantae; Streptophyta; Magnoliopsida; Solanales; Solanaceae
Description: long non-coding RNA (NBEN_LNC028908)
Source: RNAcentral